UCUCUCUCUCUCUCUCAAUAAAUAUCUAGGGUUUUAUUAAAUUCCUCUUCUCUCUAUGCCUGCGGAAUCUUAACUUCUCAAAUUCUCAAUUCCGUACACUAGAAUUGUGAGCCGGCCAAUGGAGGAAGGGACUAGUGGUGGUGGUGGAGGGGAAUCGUCGUCGAGGGUAACGCCGUCGUAUGUGAAGUUAGGAGACAGGCAAAUAUUCACUGUGGAGCUUCGACCCGGAGAGACAACAUUUGUGUCAUGGAAGAAGCUCAUGAAAGACGCAAACAAGGUUAAUAGUGGAUCCGCACCAGCUUUGGACCCACCUCCCGCCAACGCUCACCUCAACCUUGAGUCUCGCCUCGUUCCUGGACAACCAGCUGAAAAUGAAGAGAAGGAUGCACCUCCUCCAAAUCGUUUCAGUGCUGUGAUUGAGAAGAUUGAACGUCUUUACAUGGGGAAGGAUAGCAGUGAUGAGGAAGAUCUAAAGGACGUUCCUGAUGAUGAUCAGUAUGAUACAGAUGAUUCCUUUAUCGAUGAUGCUGAGCUGGAUGAAUAUUUUGAAGUGGAUAAUUCAGCAAUAAAACACAAUGGAUUCUUUGUUAACAGGGGAAAGCUGGAACGAAUAAAUGAACCUAUCGUUGUGCCUAACCAGCAAGCAAAGAAAAGACGAAGAAAGGAUUUAACCAAGGCCCCUGGUGAGAGUGAUGAUGUUCAUACAUCAAAUAAACAAGUUAAGCUGGGUAAAUCAGUGGCUGGAAAGAUAGCAUCACCACUUGGAAAGAACCCUUCAAAUCCCUCUCAAAAUUUGGUUGUGACAAAUGAACACUGUGAGGAUGUGAGGUCUCAGAGUCUAUCAUAUACAGCUGGAAUUUCUUCUAAGAAGAAAUCUGCUGAAACUAAAAUGAAUUUGGAUCCAUCUUCAUCAAUAAAAACUUCAAAUGGUGAUGCCUCUGUAUCUCUAGCUGAGGCUAAGGAUAUAGAAAAGCUAAAAGCUGGAGGACUCCUAGCGAAGAACCUGACAAAUAAAUCGAAAGAUGCAGGUGGAACUUUGGAUGUUUCUCAUCAGAAAUAUCAUGAUAAAAGUGCUUACUCACAAUCCAAGUUGCAAUCUGCAAAGUCAAUAACCAGUGUUGAUGAACUUGAACCAGCAGUUAGAUCAAAAGAAAAGAAUGGAGUCCGUGAGCUGCCUGAUCUUAAUAUGCCAGAUGCUAAGAUGUCCAUGCAAGUAACAAAACCUUCACAUGUUCACAAAAAGGAUGGUUCUAGUGCUAGGCCCAAAAGUUCAAUGCUGGAGAAUGCCAUCAGGGAAUUGGAGAAGAUGGUUGCUGAAUCAAGGCCCCCAGCUCUAGAAAGUCAAGAGGCUGAUACCUCAUCCCAGGCAAUCAAGAGGAGAUUGCCCAGCGAAAUAAAGCAGAAGCUUGCUAAAGUUGCUAGACUAGCGCAGGCAAGCCAAGGGAAAGUAUCAAAGGAGUUACUCAAUCGCCUUAUGAGCAUUCUUGGUCACUUAAUACAGCUCAGAACACUCAAGGUACCUUUUUGUAGAAAAAUGAAGAUAUAAUUCUCCACUGCUUUUACAUCAGUUCUCUUUCUCUCUCUCUCUACUGUCUGAAUUCUCAUAUUCCUUCAACCAGCUGGAUGUAGUUGGUUCUUUUGGAUAUAGCAUUUUAUUUGCACUUUGCAAUUUGAUAGUUCUCUUUAUUUUUUCUUCCUUACUCUUUUGGAUGUACAAGUGCAUUUUUGGCAAUUCUCUUUAUUUUGUUUCCUUUCUUAUUUUCUUUACCAAAGAGUGUAGAAUGGAAUCUGGAAACCAGUUCAAGUAACAGUUUUUACUGACAAUGAAAUGAUCUUAAAUGUUUUCUAUGAGAAUCUUUGACAAUGGGCUAUUGAUUUGUCUCACAUUAUUUUUCAAAAUUUUGAACUCAUUAAGAUAAUUGUUCGAGUAAAAUGAGCAAUAUUAAGGUAAUUGUUUGUAUAACUCUAAUUUCAGCUUAUUUGUAUAUUGGCUCUUGAAUCACAUAACCCAAUCUUCUGAUAUUUGGAUGAUGUUACUGUGGUCUAUUAGACAAAUUAUGUUUCUGUAACAGAAUUGUGAUGGUCUUAAUGAAACAUUAGAAAUGUUGUUCGUUUAAUUGAAAAUGAAGUUCUUAUCAUUGAUGUUGCGUUUUAUUCAUUGAAAAUAAAGUUUUAUUGUUGGUAUUAUUUUUAGUUCAUUGUACUGUGCAUGUGUAAUGAAUUUUCCUGUGUUUGUGGCUUAUAUAAAAUAUUUUACCAUAACAUGAGGCUAUCUGUUUUUGUUGCAGAGAAACUUAAAAGUAAUGAUUAACAUGAGCUUGUCUGCAAAGCAGGAGAAAGAUGAUAAGUUCCAACAAAUAAAGAAAGAAGUUGCUGAGAUGAUUAAGAUAUGUGUCCCAUCUUCAGAGUCCAAGGUUGGUUGAAUCUUAUCCUUCUCUCUCUUUCUGUCUCUCACAGUGGUAUUGGCAUUGAAGAGAGUAGUUGUUCAGGACCUUCAGGUAAAAUUUAACUGGAAAUCAAUGGUGGAUGAAACCACACCCUCCUCCCCUGCGGCCCCCCCCUCCCGUCCUUCUCUCUCCUUCCUUUUUUUCAUUUUGGUCAUUCUUUUUCUGUCUAAUGCUUCAGUUGGAAUCGGCUUUGUUAGAGAGCUUUUUGGUUCUGAUGAGUUCAGUGAUCUACCUGAAUGUUUUUCUUUAUUCUGAUGAUUUUGGUGAGCUAACUGAUUUGUUAAGCUGACAGCCUUUUGGUUUCUGUCUUGAUCUGAGUUUUUCUGUAGCCAUCAGUGUCUGGUGCUUAUGAACUAUCUUAAAUGUUGAAGGGCUGAUUCUGUACCACAUGCUGAUCCAUUUAUUAGUUUUGAAUCUUAAUAUAACUGAUAAGAAGUUAAUUGAUUAUUAUUGGCAUCUCAGUUAUGAAAGUCUGAAUUAUUUAUCAUCAUUUUCCCAGACAUUGGAGCAACAAGCUGGAGCAUCUGAUGACUUUCAAGAAAUUGCUUCUGAGGAAAAAGGAGCCACUAAAAGAAAAUUUAGCAUGGAUGCUGUUUUGGAGGACAAAAUUUGUGAUCUUUAUGACCUCUUUGUUGAUGUACCAAUGCCCAUUCUUGAAAAAUUCUUAUUUAUCUGUUGGGAAAUUUAUUUUCAUAAUUAUCUCAUUCUUUAACCUUUGCCUGUUGAUGAUUUUAGGGACUGGAUGAAGAUGCUGGCCCACCAGUCAGAAAGUUGUAUCUAGAGGUAUGUUUUGUUUUUCUUAGUAUCUUACGAGUUGAUAAAUUGAAAUGGAAUGGUGCGAGUGACUCCUUCCUCUUGUCCUCUCCAUGCUGAAACUUUUGUUACUAAUUUAUUGUUGCUAUUGUUCAGAUGUGGUCCAAGCUUUGUCUUUCUCUCCCACUCACUUAGUCUGACCAGUCUGUGUUAUUCUAUUAAAGCCAUUUUCCCUUUAAGGCCCACCAAUUACCUAGUUCUUUGCCCUUCUUCCUUUCCUACUUCCAGAAAGGAGAAAAAAAAGUUCAAAUGUUCUUAAUUUUUUGAUAUGCAUCCAUGAUUCAGCUUGCACAAUUGUGGCCAAGGGGUUUCAUGGACAAUCAUGGGAUCAAGCGUGCAAUUUGUAGGGCAAAAGAGAGACGGAGGUCCUUGUACAGCAGACAUAAGGAUCAGGAAAAGAUUAAGAGAAAAAAGAUGUUGGCAUCUAGAUUGGAUGAGACCGCUCGAGUUGAGGCUGGUUCAGUCGCUCAGCAACAAUAUAUGCGAGAGAGGUUGCCUACUGAUACAAGUGGUCCUGUUUUGGCUUUAGCUAUCAAGCCAGUGCCUAAUUCAUCAACGGCAGCUGUUCGAGCACCAAGUCCUUCAAUGAACGCACCAAACUUGGACAGGCUAAAACAAGAGAAGCCAAAAGGAAGUUCAAGCAGUCCCAUUGACGAGGCAAAGAUGGUAGUAGAUGGUGCAUUGACAAAGAAAAAGGUAAAGAGGAAGUCUGAACAGGAAUUGAAUGAGACUCAUUUUCGGUCUGAGAAAUUGCAAUCCCAAUCUAGUGAAGAAAAACACAAGUCCCUUAAGCAAGCUUCGGUUCUUCCCCAAAAGCUAAACCUUCAGUUUACCACUUCGAGUUUCGAACAGUCUAGCUGACGUAAUAUAGUUGAUUAGGAAGUUUACACCACAUAAGUAAUUGUGUAACAAAGUCUUUCUCCUUUCUUUUUUCUUCAGCAGCCUUUAUUAAUUCUGACCAGCCGAUUGCUACCAUUUUUGUAAUUAAGUGUUGAAUGGUGCGUUGUUAUUUAGAGUUUCGACUUGAAAUAGGAGGUGGCAGAAUGCUGUAUUUUCUUAAGCGAUUAAUGCGUCAAAGACGUGUAACUUUCAACCUUGGUUGUUUUUGGGGUAAUUUUUAUAGUUCG
This 4387-nucleotide unclassified non-coding RNA is filed under the name Hevea brasiliensis (rubber tree). The record is from RNAcentral. Lineage: Eukaryota; Viridiplantae; Streptophyta; Magnoliopsida; Malpighiales; Euphorbiaceae.